AGUGAACGCUGGCGGUAGGCCUAACACAUGCAAGUCGAACGGCAGCACAGUAAGAGCUUGCUCUUACGGGUGGCGAGUGGCGGACGGGUGAGGAAUACAUCGGAAUCUACUUUUUCGUGGGGGAUAACGUAGGGAAACUUACGCUAAUACCGCAUACGACCUACGGGGGAAAGCAGGGGAUCUUCGGACCUUGCGCGAUUGAAUGAGCCGAUGUCGGAUUAGCUAGUUGGCGGGGUAAAGGCCCACCAAGGCGACGAUCCGUAGCUGGUCUGAGAGGAUGAUCGGCCACACUGGAACUGAGACACGGUCAAGACUCCUACGGGAGGCAGCAGUGGGGAAUAUUGGACAAUGGGCGCAAGCCUGAUCCAGCCAUACCGCGUGGGUGAAGAAGGCCUUCGGGUUGUAAAGCCCUUUUGUUGGGAAAGAAAAGCAGCAGGUUAAUACCCCGCUGUUCUGACGGUACCCAAAGAAUAAGCACCGGCUAACUUCGUG
RNAcentral lists this ribosomal RNA (492 nucleotides) under uncultured bacterium. Its description in RNAcentral is "partial 16S ribosomal RNA". It matches the Rfam family "Bacterial small subunit ribosomal RNA", at positions 29 to 507 of the family's 1533-position model. The record is from RNAcentral.